CGGCUCAUUAUAUCAGCAAUAAUUUAUUUGAUGGUUCCUUACUACNUGGAUAACUGUAGUAAUUCUAGAGCUAAUACNUGCGUAAAGUCCCGACUCUCGCGGGGAGGGAUGUAUUUAUUAGAUAAAAAACCAAUGCGGGUUCUGCCCGGUUUUGUGGUGAAUCAUAGUAACUUUUCGAAUCGCAUGGCUUCACGNCGGCGAUAGUUCAUUCAAAUUUCUGCCCUAUCAGCUUUCGACGGUAGUGUAGUGGACUACCGUGGCGUUAACGGGUAACGGAGAAUUAGGGUUCGAUUCCGGAGAGGGAGCCUGAGAAACGGCUACCACAUCCAAGGAAGGCAGCAGGCGCGCAAAUUACCCAAUUCUGACACAGAGAGGUAGUGACAAAAAAUAACAAUACCUGGCCUUUUUAGGUCGGGUAAUUGGAAUGAGUACAAUUUAAAUCCCUUAACGAGGAUCCAUU
Molecule: ribosomal RNA, 460 nt
Filed under: uncultured marine cercozoan
Lineage: Eukaryota; Cercozoa
Description: SSU rRNA
Rfam family: Eukaryotic small subunit ribosomal RNA
Source: RNAcentral